UCAUCACAGUCGCUGUGGUGAGCCGAACACGCGCAUCUCCCUCGUCACAACAUCCACAGGCACGCACGCGCGCUGAACCAUUCAAAAACGCGGACUAAGGCCGACGCGCUUGUAGCCGAGGCGUGGCUUGCAUCAAAGUCCUGCCCUUACUGGCCUGCGCAUGUGCCUGCCUCUCCGCCGAGCUGUGCGUUUGUCUGUCUGCCUGUCUGUCACUCUCUCUGUUCCCUGAACAUCUGCAUCAGUCAUUUCUCUCAUUUCCAUCGUAUCUCCUCCCCACGCCCUGCCUUUUUCUGUCCUUGUUGCGCACGCUCUUCAGCUGGUCCAGCUGGCAUACUUCGUCGCGCUUCCAUUUUUGUGUGCCUCUGCUCGUGUGCGCCUUGCGGUCAAACGUGGGGGGGGGCUCGGCGCACUCUAGUGUCCCCCUUUCCACUGAGCACGUGCGUGGGUCCUCGGACUCCGCGCAUUCUUAUGUGUGACAUUUUGUUGUCCCCGCAGCCCCUCUCCUCCCUCCCUCUCUCUCUGGCAGGUGCGGCAUCUCCCCUCGCUGGCUCUUUGCUUCUGUGCCGGUUGCAAAACACGCCAUCCAGUCGGCCUUCCUGCCAUUUGACAGACGGGCGCUCUUUUUUUUUUGCUCUGCUCUCUUCGUGGCUGUUGUUCUCUGUUCUUUCGCCCCUGCCUCGCUCUCGCUCUCUUUCUCUGCGCGUAGCACACCAGCCCACCAACCUGACGGCUCGCACCUCUCACAGAUCCCACGCGUGGGCGAUCCCCUGCUGCAGACCCGCGCAGUAAUCGCAGGGGCACCGUUGCACCUGCUCUGGCAACGGCGUGGCCCCCCUCUUUUCCCGGCUUCCCUUUGUUCGCUUGCGGACGCGCUUUUCUUGCGGAAGACUCUGCCGUUUUCGGCCACCCUCGUCCGUCUUUGUAUGUGCGCUCAUCGAUUCUCGUCGUCAUGGACUCGCUGUACAACUGGAAUGACUCGACCAAGAUCGGGGUGGCCUUUACCGGCCUUGGCAUGUUCUUCACGUUCAUGGGCAUCGUGAUGCUCCUGGACAGCAUUCUUCUCACAAUGGGGAACUUCUUGUUUGUGGCCGGUGUGGCGAUGGUCAUGGGACCACAGCGGUGCAAGGCGUUCUUCAUCGCGCGCCAGCGCGCAUCUGCGUGCUUCUUUGUGGGCAUUUUGUUUGUGAUUCUCCGUUGGUGUUUUAUUGGUCUGUGCAUUCAAGGCUUUGGCGCGCUGAACCUAUUUGGCAACUUUUUCCCUGUACUAGUGCGCGUGUUGGAGUCUGCCCCUGUCAUUGGCCCUAUAAUCUUAUCUGCCCCAGUCCAGAAAGUGCUGUCUCUCAUGCACGUCAACGAUGUGCGAAACCUGCGGAAUGUUUAGAGCUGUGCGCCUGCGCUUUCCGCCUCCCCCUAGAUGACUGACAGUUGCAGCACUGCGACGUCAAGUCGUUUGGAGAGAGGGGUGGAGGGGGUGCAGUAGUGCGGUGAUGAAGGGUGGCAGCCCGACAAGUGCGGAAAGGUGCGGGCCCUUUAGUCGCUCGAUUGCGAUACUGCCUUUGAAGAGAAAGAUCGCGCAGGACCCUUCAGACACUGAUACGCGGUGCCAUACAAGUCUCGUUGUGCCCCGCCGCGUCCAUGUGCGUCUCCUUCGUCGCCUCACUUCUUCAUAGCCUCUGUGCUCACUUGCACAUCAGCUCUCCAUCGCGGGAUGCGUGAGGACUGGGCGGGUGUCUGUGUGCGACCGUGGGUUGUAUGCUAUUCCUUCUUUGAUGCUGUCCUCUGGUAUCGCAACUUGGGCGUCCACCUUCCUCCGUGCUCGCGUGCAUGGCGCAUGCGAACACCUAUACAGAAAAGCCAUGGCGCGUAUAUGCGCAACCAAGAUACGCCCACGCAAGGCCAAGCGUCUCUCUGUCGAUGACACCUCUUCUCCGAUACUGCGUUUAAGCGUGCUGCCGAGGCAUCGUUUGUCCGAGGGAUGAUGAGUGCGCAUGUCUACUCCUCUGUGCGUUGCUACCCACUUCUCAAGCGUGUUUUUGUAGCUUUAGGAAGAAAGCCAAAGGGCAAACCAUCAGGCUGGUGUUCCUCUUGUUGCUCAUGCCCGCUUUCAUUUGCAGAUCGCUACCCCUGCCACGGAGCCUUGAGGGUGAACCAGCUAAGAAAGUCAGGAUAAGGCGCACCCCCGGUGCUUCAUGCCCCCCCCCCCCCCCCCCCCCGCUCCUCCGUCUGCACUCUGUUUCGCUCCCCCUUUCUCCUUUCCCAG
This 2260-nucleotide unclassified non-coding RNA is filed under the name Leishmania donovani. Its description in RNAcentral is "gene:LdHU3.18.2050(CDS-product:Got1/Sft2-like_fam ily_putative)". Lineage: Eukaryota; Euglenozoa; Kinetoplastea; Trypanosomatida; Trypanosomatidae. The record is from RNAcentral.